RNAcentral lists this long non-coding RNA (878 nucleotides) under Felis catus (domestic cat). Its description in RNAcentral is "lncRNA (ENSFCAG00000051772.1)". The record is from RNAcentral. Lineage: Eukaryota; Metazoa; Chordata; Mammalia; Carnivora; Felidae.
CCUUAUUCCUCGGGGAGAAGCCGGCCGCCACAGUGCCGUGUAAUUUUUCUGAUCACCUAGUCCGACUGUAGUUAAAGACUUCCUGCAGGGUGCGUGUCAGGACUCCUGCAUCUAACUCCCCUGGGGUAACACUCAGAAUGCCAGUGACCCCUAGUCUCCCAGGGAGGGCCUGGCCAAUAUGCAUCCUUAAUCAGGCUGUUAGUAAUCCAAAUGAUUACAAAUGGUUGGGUUCCACUAGAAUUCGCCUGCCUAACGUCUGUCGACCCGGCUAAAUAGAACUUUGCCUCUGGCCAGGACCUUUUUGCGCGUGCAAGUUUGCAUUUCUGCACCAACCCGGAUUCUGGCACACCGUAGGCACGCGAUACAUUUCAGUGAAGAAGAAAAACAAAAACAAAGGGAAGGUGCCGGGCCACAGUUUGCAAGACUUCCAUUUUGUCAUGGCUGUAAGAAAGAGGAGGAAGAGAUAACCAUGAGAACAGAACUGAUAUUAGGAAUUUGGCCCCAGGGAAGAAGUUUCCAGGGAAAGGCGUAGAGUCCACGUAGGUACAAUUUGACUUAAUGUUCUUUCUAUUUCAUCAUGGGUGGUUAUUCAGUACAGAAUGAGGGCACUGAAAAAGUCUGAAUUAUCCAAGAAAAAUGAUACUUUUUCGACUCGUGGUUUAGUUUAUUGGCAUCCAAACCUGCUUCCUAAAAGAUGACACAUUUACCACUUUCCGUGUUUAAAGAUUAGGAAGUAUUUCUGGGGCACCCGGCCGGCUCCGUUGGUGAGGUGUUUGUCUCUUGAUCUUGGGGUCAUGAGUUCAAGCCCCAUGUUGGGCAAAUUGGGUGUAGAGAUUACUUAAAAAUAAAAUCUAAAACUAAAUAAAUAAAUAAAAAUA